AUUGAACGCUGGCGGCAGGCCUAACACAUGCAAGUCGAGCGGAUGAAGGGAGCUUGCUCCUGGAUUCAGCGGCGGACGGGUGAGUAAUGCCUAGGAAUCUGCCUGGUAGUGGGUGAUAAUGUCCGGAAACGGGCGCUAAUACCGCAUACGUCCUGAGGGAGAAAGUGGGGGAUCUUCGGACCUCACGCUAUCAGAUGAGCCUAGGUCGGAUUAGCUAGUUGGUGGGGUAAAGGCCUGCCAAGGCGACGAUCCGUAACUGGUCUGAGAGGAUGAUCAGUCACACUGGAACUGAAACACGGACCAGACUCCUACGGGAGGCAGCAGUGGGAGAUGUUGGACAAUGGGCGAAAGUCUGAACCAACCAAGCGGCGUGUGUGAAAAAGGUCUUCGGAUUUGAAAGCACGUUAAGUUGGGAUGAAGGGCAUUAAGUUGUUACCUUGCUUUUUUGACGUUACCAACAGAAUAAGCACCGGCUAACUUCGUG
RNAcentral lists this ribosomal RNA (484 nucleotides) under uncultured bacterium. RNAcentral describes it as "partial 16S ribosomal RNA". It matches the Rfam family "Bacterial small subunit ribosomal RNA", at positions 30 to 507 of the family's 1533-position model. The record is from RNAcentral.